RNAcentral lists this long non-coding RNA (455 nucleotides) under Sus scrofa (pig). RNAcentral's name for it is "lncRNA (ENSSSCG00050040641.1)". Lineage: Eukaryota; Metazoa; Chordata; Mammalia; Artiodactyla; Suidae. The record is from RNAcentral.
GACACUACAGAGAAGUUCCCAUCAGUCCUUGCAUCACUGGCCGGCCUCCCUGGCAGUCAACCCGCAGGAGAGCAUGCUGGUGCCGCUUUCCGAAGUGAUGCUGACGCACAGCCCUGUGGGGUUCCAAACAGUUCCGGGGAAGGAGUGGGCGCCAAGCCAAGCUGGGACUCCUGAUGUCACAGAGGAAUCUUAGCACUUGGAAGGCUGACAGAGCCUGCCUUUGUCAGUUAUGCUGCGUUGCAAGUCAGAAGGGAACUGAAGCUCCAGAAAGCCAGGCAAAAUCAGAACAAGAACAAUGUAAGAAACUCUCCAACUGAAUUCCACAUGGUGCCUGGAUCCUGAUGCUUCCUAAGAAACAACAUUUUUUCCAUUCUCUGGAUGGUUCCUGGAUACUCUUGUUCUAAAAGAAUAAGACUUAAAGAGAUUUGGUGAGAAUAAAGUUUAAAAAAAAGUCA